This is a small RNA of Streptomyces afghaniensis 772, 84 nucleotides long. It matches the Rfam family "nrdJ RNA". Lineage: Bacteria; Bacillati; Actinomycetota; Actinomycetes; Kitasatosporales; Streptomycetaceae. The record is from Rfam.
ACCUGUUGCGGGCGAGGUGAGUGGGUGCCCGCAACACCAGACAGAACACCGUGCCACGGGAACAACGGGGCACUUCAGGGCGUU